Molecule: ribosomal RNA, 281 nt
Filed under: uncultured Actinomycetales bacterium
Lineage: Bacteria; Bacillati; Actinomycetota; Actinomycetes; Actinomycetales
Description: partial 16S ribosomal RNA
Rfam family: Bacterial small subunit ribosomal RNA
Source: RNAcentral
UGUGCCAGCAGCCGCGGUAAUACGUAGGGCGCAAGCGUUGUCCGGAAUUAUUGGGCGUAAAGAGCUCGUAGGCGGCUUGUCGCGUCGGUUGUGAAAGCCCGGGGCUUAACCCCGGGUCUGCAGUCGAUACGGGCAGGCUAGAGUUCGGUAGGGGAGAUCGGAAUUCCUGGUGUAGCGGUGAAAUGCGCAGAUAUCAGGAGGAACACCGGUGGCGAAGGCGGAUCUCUGGGCCGAUACUGACGCUGAGGAGCGAAAGCGUGGGGAGCGAACAGGAUUAGAUA